This 492-nucleotide ribosomal RNA is filed under the name uncultured bacterium. RNAcentral describes it as "partial 16S ribosomal RNA". It matches the Rfam family "Bacterial small subunit ribosomal RNA", at positions 29 to 507 of the family's 1533-position model. The record is from RNAcentral.
AGUGAACGCUGGCGGUAGGCCUAACACAUGCAAGUCGAACGGCAGCACAGUAAGAGCUUGCUCUUACGGGUGGCGAGUGGCGGACGGGUGAGGAAUACAUCGGAAUCUACUUUUUCGUGGGGGAUAACGUAGGGAAACUUACGCUAAUACCGCAUACGACCUACGGGUGGAAGCAGUGGAUCUUCGGACCUUGCGCGAUUGCAUGAGCCGAUGUCGGCUUAGCUAGUUGGCGGGGUAAAGGCCCACCAAGGCGGCGAUCCGUAGCUGGUCUGAGAGGAUGAUCAGCCACACUGGAACUGCGACACGGUCCAGACUCCUACGGGAGGCAGCAGUGUGGAAUGUUGGACAAUGGGCGCAAGCCUGAUCCAGCCCUACCGCGUGGGUGAAGAAGGCCUUCGGGUUGUAAAGCCCUGUUGUUGGUAAAGAAAAGCAGCAGGUUAAUACCCCGCUGUUCUGACGGUACCGAAAGAAUAAGCACCGGCUAACUUCGUG